UAUGAGUGACUUCCUCACGCACGCUGUUAUUGUAACUGAACCACUGAGGACCAGGAAUGGUUAUUAAAAGUGGACCCACAAUGAUUAUGAUGACAGUACAGUACUGCCACUUUUUAAAGGGCUGCACCAGCAAGUAGGCCUGAGGCAACUUCUCAACCUGUGAACAAUAGGAAGUCAGUCAAAGCUAAGAAAAGAAAAGCCCAGCAAGGGAAAAGCAAGCAAGGCGAAGGGAGACUUAUUGCGCAGCUGAGAGAAUAGACAACUACGACCCCAAAAACAACACGUAUUACAUAAAGUGGCAAGGAUAUGAUGCGUCCCACAACUCAUGGGUGAAAGCGGAAGACGUAACUUCUCCUCUCAUCUCUUCUUACAAAGAAAAAUUAGGUUCAGGAACGCACAAGAAGUGAUGCACCUCAUGUCUUAGCCCUUUCGAUUGUUGAAAAAAUUUAUGUGAAUUUGUGCAAAUCCUCCCACCUGUGUUUUUUUGUUCAGUGGAAUUCACGUAUUUCGGUAUUCCUUCUUCACCUCCACGCAUUAUUCAUUCUGACAUAAACUCACAUGAUCACUUUUGAUGAAAGAUUACAUAAUGGAUAAUAUUGA
Molecule: long non-coding RNA, 600 nt
Organism: Lineus longissimus
Lineage: Eukaryota; Metazoa; Nemertea; Pilidiophora; Heteronemertea; Lineidae
Exons: 5
Source: RefSeq, a predicted model, not a curated record